This 651-nucleotide ribosomal RNA is filed under the name uncultured bacterium. RNAcentral's name for it is "bacterial SSU rRNA". It matches the Rfam family "Bacterial small subunit ribosomal RNA", at positions 56 to 733 of the family's 1533-position model. The record is from RNAcentral.
UGCAGUCGACGAAGUUAAAUUAUGCUUGCAUAGUUUUAAACUGAGUGGCGGACGGGUGAGUAACACGUAAGAACCUACCUUUUGGUGAGGGAUAACUACUGGAAACGGUAGCUAAUACCUCGUAUAGCUGAGAAGUGAAAGAUUUAAAAUCGCCAAAAAAUGGGCUUGCGUCUGAUUAGCUAGUUGGUGAGGUAAUAGCUUACCAAGGCAAUGAUCAGUAGCUGUUCUGAGAGGAUGAUCAGCCACACUGGGACUGAGACACGGCCCAGACUCCUACGGGAGGCAGCAGUGAGGAAUUUUCCGCAAUGGGCGAAAGCCUGACGGAGCAAUGCCGCGUGAAGGAUGACGGCCUAUGGGUUGUAAACUUCUUUUCUCAGAGAAGAAUUUUGACGGUAUCUGAGGAAUAAGCAUCGGCUAACUCUGUGCCAGCAGCCGCGGUAAGACAGAGGAUGCAAGCGUUAUCCGGAAUGAUUGGGCGUAAAGCGUCUGUAGGUGGUCUAUCAAGUCUUCUGUCAAAGAUCAGGGCUUAACUCUGGGCAGGCAGGAGAAACUAGUAGACUAGAGUUCGGUAGGGGCAGAGGGAAUUCCCGGUGGAGCGGUGAAAUGCGUAGAGAUCGGGAGGAACACCAAAGGCGAAAGCACUCUGCUGGG